RNAcentral lists this ribosomal RNA (2125 nucleotides) under Jaagichlorella luteoviridis. RNAcentral describes it as "SSU rRNA". It matches the Rfam family "Eukaryotic small subunit ribosomal RNA". Lineage: Eukaryota; Viridiplantae; Chlorophyta; Trebouxiophyceae; Watanabeales; Watanabeaceae. The record is from RNAcentral.
AGUCAUAUGCUCGUNUCAAAGAUUAAACCCAUGCAUGUCUAAGUAUAAAACUGCUUAUACUGCGAAACUGCGAAUGGCUCAUUAAAUCAGUACUAAUUUAUUUGAUGGUUGCCUUGCUACUCGGAUAGCCGUAGUAACAUAGAGCUAAUACGUGCGUAAACCCCGACUUCGCGGAAGGGGCGUAUUUAUUAGAUAAAAGACCGACCGGGCUUGCCCGAUCCGCGGUGAUUCAUGAUAACUCGACGAAUCGUACGGCCUCGAGCCGACGAUGUUUCAUUCAAAUUUCUGCCCUCAUCAACUUUCGAUGGUAGGAUAGAGGCCUACCAUGGUUUUGACGGGUGACGGAGGAUUAGGGUUCGAUUCCGGAGAGGGAGCCUGAGAAACGGCUACCACAUCCAAGGAAGGCAGCAGGCGCGCAAAUUACCCAAUCCCGACACGGGGAGGUAGUGACAAGAAAUAACAAUACCGGGCUUUAUCAAGUCUGGUAAUUGGAAUGAGUACAAUUCAAAAUCCUUAACGAGGAUCAAUUGGAGGGCAAGUCUGGUGAACUUCGACAGUUCCUUUUGCUGUUGACGCCAGAGGUAGUCGAUAGAGACUAGUCGAUGCAGCCGAUUGAUGAUCGGGUGGCUGCCGGCAAGACGACCUGGAACGGGGAAGGCCUUCGAUGGGCAGCGAUGGUGCUCACGGCUGAUCCCGUGGCGAGCUGGCGGAGAGCGAUCUCCGUCGAGCCGUCGUAACGCACGCUAAGGCGUCGGUGGACUCUCGAUAGAGAGUCCGCUUAAGGGACGUGCUAAUCCCAGCCGAUGAGAAAGGCUGCUCGCUUGACUAGGUCCUGAUCACCGAAGCUAGCGAGGGGGCGACCGGUCAAGCGACCGAUCGUCCCGGUACCAAUGGCCAGCAGCCGCGGUAAUUCCAGCUCCAAUAGCGUAUAUUUAAGUUGUUGCAGUUAAAAAGCUCGUAGUCGGAUUUCGGACGGGGCUGACCGGUCCACCUCUCGGUGCGCACUGGUCGUGCCGCGUCUCGCUGUCGGGGACGGGCUGCUGGGCUUCAUUGUCCGGCACCCGGAGUCGACGACGUCACUUUGAGUAAAUUAGAGUGUUCAAAGCAGGCCUACGCUCUGAAUACGUUAGCAUGGAAUGACACGAUAGGACUCUGGCUUAUCCUGUCGGUCUGUGAGACCGGAGUAAUGAUUAACAGGGACGGUCGGGGGCGCUCGUAUUUCGUUGUCAGAGGUGAAAUUCUUGGAUUUACGAAAGACGAACUUCUGCGAAAGCAUUCGUCAAGGAUGUUUUCAUUGAUCAAGAACGAAAGUUGGGGGCUUGAAGAGGAUUAGAUACCCUCCUAAUCUCAUACCAUAAACGAUGCCGACUAGGGAUCGGCGGGUGUCCAAUCAAUGACCCCGCCGGCACCUCACGAGAAAUCAAAGUCUUUGGGUUCCGGGGGGAGUAUGGUCGCAAGGCUGAAACUUAAAGGAAUUGACGGAAGAGCACCACCAGUUGUGGAACUUGCGGCUUAAUUUGACUCAACACGGGAAAACUUACCAGGUCCAGACAUAGUGAGGAUUGACAGAUUGAAAGCUCUUUCUUGAUUCUGUGGGUGGUGGUGCAUGGCCGUUCUUAGUUGGUGGGUUGCCUUGUCAGGUUGAUUCCGGUAACGAACGAGACCUCAGCCUGCUAAAUAGUCACGUUCGGCCUUGGCCGGGCGCUGCGCUUCUUAGAGGGACUAUCGGCGACUAGCCGAUGGAAGUGUGAGGCAAUAACAGGUCUGUGAUGCCCUUAGAUGUUCUGGGCCGCACGCGUGUUACACUGACGCAAUCAACAAGCCCAGCCUUGACCGAGAGGUCCGGGUAAUCUUGUAAAGUGCGUCGUGAUGGGGCUAGACUCUUGCAAUUAUUAGUCUUCAACGAGGAAUAUCUAGUAAGCGCAAGUCAUCAGCUUGCGUUGAUUACGUCCCUGCUCUUUGUACACACCGCCCGUCGCUCCUACCGAUUGGAUGUGCUGGUGAAGCGUUCGGAUUGGUCGCAUCCGGUGGUUCUCCGCCGUUCGCAGCCGAGAAGUUCGUUAAACCCUCCCAUCUAGAGGAAGGAGAAGUCGUAACAAGGUCUCCGUAGGUGAACCUGCGGAGG